CUACUCACUGUCCCGCUAUAAUCUGAAAAACCUGGUGAGAGUCCUCAUCUGCAGUGAAUGCCUGCCUUAUCUGAAAGGAAUCCGACAGGCCUUAUUACUUCCACCUUAUGCCCCAGACUUUCUAAAUCACAGUGGCCUUCAAGGAAAGAGGAAGUGCAUCUCUUGUUAAAGCUGUUGUCUGUAGUCUGCUGUGAUGAAGAGAGUUCUUGGGGUGGGAACGAACGGAGGUGUGGGUUCACCAUAACUCUCCGGAAUUCAAGUGAUCUGUUAAGAGGGGUGCUCUUGGAGGAAUCAUGAGGAAAAAUCAUUACAGUUAUUUCUAACAGAGUGAAAGAGAAAUUAAAAAUAAAUUGAAUCAAAAGCUAAAGAAAUCUCAGAGUCUCUGCAUUAGCAGGAUCAAUUCAGAUGCACUAAAGAGAGCAGAGACUGCUUGUCAUGGAAUCAGAAGUGACCUGCCCAUGAAGCCAGAGAAUGACUCUGUCAGUGUAGAGUUAGUGGCAUCAGAAAUGAAGAUGUAUCUCUUCUUUGAUAUAGUAUGUACACCUUGAAUGCUGCAGACAUAGGUUCUCCAUGUAUAAAUCACAUUAUUUUCAAAGAUUGUGUUCAUUUUCUUAUUGUAUAUGCCAAAUGUGUGUUUGUUCAUACAUAAAAAUUGUGUAACUAUAUUCUCAAAUUUCAUUCAGCUGUUCAACAGAACUAAUUUGUUCUUUGCACAUGACAGUAUGUAUAUAAUGUAAGGAGAGACUUAUUUUUGAAUUCUGCAAAUGAUUUAUGAUCGCUAUUUAGGAUUUUCAAAAUAGUGACAAAAAAAUGAACUAUAAGCUCAACAG
Molecule: long non-coding RNA, 830 nt
Organism: Octodon degus (degu)
Lineage: Eukaryota; Metazoa; Chordata; Mammalia; Rodentia; Octodontidae
Exons: 3
Source: RefSeq, a predicted model, not a curated record